Long non-coding RNA from Dipodomys spectabilis (banner-tailed kangaroo rat), 325 nucleotides. RefSeq lists it as uncharacterized. Lineage: Eukaryota; Metazoa; Chordata; Mammalia; Rodentia; Heteromyidae. The record is from RefSeq and is a predicted model, not a curated record. The transcript is spliced from 4 exons.
CAGAACGCAGCAUGUCCAGACCCGGCCGGCCGGGCUGGUUCUCGCAGCUCAUUCACUGGGCCUGGAAGUCCCCGCCCGUGGAGUAGAAGGUUGGCUGUUGGACACACACUUUUGAGAUCCAGCUGUAAUCUCCAAGACUGGGACGUUGUGAGCAGCUGGAUUUGCACAAUGUGUUUGAAGUUUUCCUUCCUGGGAGGUGUCUGAACUCUUUCUUGGCGUGACGAAGACUGUUGAACAAGCACAGGAAAUCUCUUGGUGAACUGGAAGAAUGUGGACUUCAGGAUUCUAAAUGAAAGGAGGAAGACGUGAUAAAUGGACAAGAAGG